This is a non-coding RNA of Schistosoma rodhaini, 46 nucleotides long. Lineage: Eukaryota; Metazoa; Platyhelminthes; Trematoda; Strigeidida; Schistosomatidae. The record is from Rfam.
GCACUGCUGAGGAGUCCCAUAAUAGGACGAAACGGCCGUCCAGUGU